Molecule: long non-coding RNA, 895 nt
Organism: Numida meleagris (helmeted guineafowl)
Lineage: Eukaryota; Metazoa; Chordata; Aves; Galliformes; Numididae
Exons: 3
Source: RefSeq, a predicted model, not a curated record
UUUCAGACAGAAAUUUGUAAGGAGAAGACUGAUUACACUACCUCUUGUUGAGCCAAAAGUCUGGAACUGUUGAGGGCUGCAGCAGCUAUACUCCAGCUUAAUAAACUGAGUCCAACCUACAGUCUACCUGCAAAGUGACACCAUCAGCCCUGCUAAAUGGGAACACAUCUUUAUAAGUGUCAUGAAGAAGAUACACAAAACCAAGAAAAUCUUAUCAGUGAGGAGUGGAUGGAUGAAAACCCCUGCUGAAUACUGUAUCCAGGCAUAAAGAUCACAUGCAGUUGUUGACUUAGCAGUACACUGACUCUUCAAUAGAUCCUCUCCAGAAGAUUCUGGUUAGAAGAAAUAGUUCAGCUAAGCUUCAAACUGUUUCAUUCCAUUUAGGCAAGCAAUGCAGAGUUAGCCUAUGUCGCCCUUGUAGCUUCACUAUACCUUUUAUAAAUUUAAAGGGAGUCAAGAAUUUUGUUUCCUCUGUAGUUACAACAUUAGAGACUUUGUCUGAUGUGUAUGAUGAUUUUGUUUGGUUCGUUUCUGUUUACUUGUUUCUGUACAAAGAUAAAAAGAUUUCUGUUUUGUAAAGACAAACUGCUCACAACUUCUUGUAUUUCCAUUCAUUCCUUCCAAGCCAAGUAUGUCGUCUGAGUUUCUUUAACAUCAGACAUCUGGUUGCCAGGUUGUCCAGCUGUGACCAGAACUGGUGUUUUACCUAAAGCAUAAUUUAUUCUCAACAUGACCUGCUCUAACACUUAAGUACCACAAAACUGUAAUUUAGUUUUCUGAACGCUAUUGCAGUCUGUGUGUUUCAUAGUUUAUAGAAAUGGAAGGACAGCCAUCAAUAUAACAGUUAGUCCAUACUUUUAAAGAAUUAGCAUCAGGACUUCUAACAUUUUGGAUU